AACCGGGCUAAUACCGAAUAACACUUUGACCUCAUGGUCGAAUGUUAAAGACGGUUUCGGCUGUCACUACAGGAUGGGCCCGCGGCGCAUUAGCUAGUUGGUGAGGUAACGGCUCACCAAGGCAACGAUGCGUAGCCGACCUGAGAGGGUGAUCGGCCACACUGGGACUGAGACACGGCCCAGACUCCUACGGGAGGCAGCAGUAGGGAAUCUUCCACAAUGGACGAAAGUCUGAUGGAGCAACGCCGCGUGAGUGAAGAAGGAUUUCGGUUCGUAAAACUCUGUUGCAAGGGAAGAACAAGUAGCGUAGUAACUGGCGCUACCUUGACCGGUACCUUGUUAGAAAGCCACGGCA
RNAcentral lists this ribosomal RNA (355 nucleotides) under Caryophanon sp. CL5.94. RNAcentral's name for it is "bacterial SSU rRNA". It matches the Rfam family "Bacterial small subunit ribosomal RNA", at positions 156 to 498 of the family's 1533-position model. The record is from RNAcentral. Lineage: Bacteria; Bacillati; Bacillota; Bacilli; Caryophanales; Caryophanaceae.